This 560-nucleotide ribosomal RNA is filed under the name uncultured archaeon. RNAcentral's name for it is "bacterial SSU rRNA". It matches the Rfam family "Archaeal small subunit ribosomal RNA", at positions 321 to 879 of the family's 1478-position model. The record is from RNAcentral.
CCCUACGGGGUGCAGCAGGCGCGAAACUUUCCCAAUGCACGCAAGUGUGAGGAAGGAAUCUGGAGUGCAUUCUCUUUUAUAGGGGAUGCUUUUGUGGAGUGUAAAUAGCUCCAAGAAUAAGUGGUGGGUAAGACGGGUGCCAGCCGCCGCGGUAAUACCCGCGCCACGAGUGAUAACCACGAUUAUUGGGCUUAAAGCGUUCGUAGCCGGCCCAGAAAGUCCUUAGUGAAAUCCCAUAGCUAACUAUGGGGCUUGCUAGGGAAACUUUUGGACUUGGAACCGGGAGAGGUCUGGGGUACUCAAGGGGUAGGGGUAAAAUCCUGUAAUCCUUUGGGGACCACCUGUUGCGAAGGCGCCAGACCAGAACGGAUUCGACGGUGAGGGACGAAAGCCAGGGGAGCAAAGGGGAUUAGAUACCCCCGUAGUCCUGGCUGUAAACGAUGCCCACUAGACAUUGGCAAUCUUACGUGGGUUGUCAGUGUCGUAGCGAAAGCGUUAAGUGGGCCGCCUGGGGAGUACGGUCGCAAGGCUGAAACUUAAAGGAAUUGGCGGGGGAGCAC